UCACACGAAUAAGCCUUUCUGCAGGGAAAAUAAAUGGUUUAACCUGCAGGGCCAUAGUCCAAAGGGAGCAGGCGAGCAACCAGGCUUCUCCAGUUCACAGUGGCGAGGUUGGUUUCGCCACAUCAUCCAUAUCAACUCUCGAUGCCAGUUUCUGUGCCUACCAUGGUGACCAUGGGUAACAGGGAAUCAGGGUUCCAUUCCAUACAGGGACCCUGAGAAACAGCUACCACAUGCAAGGAAGGCAGCAGAGACACAAAUGACCCACUCCCGACACAGGAAGGUAGUGACGA
Molecule: ribosomal RNA, 290 nt
Filed under: Pelobates cultripes (western spadefoot toad)
Lineage: Eukaryota; Metazoa; Chordata; Amphibia; Anura; Pelobatidae
Description: SSU_rRNA_microsporidia
Rfam family: Eukaryotic small subunit ribosomal RNA
Source: RNAcentral